GGGGGGCAUAGGGAGCCUACACAUGCAGUCGAGGGGGAACCACUUUCGGGUGGUGGAGACCGGCGCACGGGUGAGUCACUUGUGGGAAUUUACCUUGGAGUGGGGAAUAACCGCUGGAAACCUCGGCUAAUACCGCAUACGCCCUUAUGGGGAAAGCUUUAGCGCUCUGGGAUGAGCCCGCGUUAGAUUAGGUAGUUGGUGGGGUAAAGGCCUACCAAGCCGACGAUCUAUAGCUGGUCUGAGAGGAUGAUCAGCCACACUGGGACUGAGACACGGCCCAGACUCCUACGGGAGGCAGCAGUGGGGAAUAUUGGACAAUGGGGGCAACCCUGAUCCAGCCAUGCCGCGUGCGUGAAGAAGGCCUUAGGGUUGUAAAGCGCUUUCACUGGUGAAGAUGAUGACGGUAGCCAGAGAAGAAGCCCCGGCUAACUCCGUGCCAGCAGCCGCGGUAAUACGGAGGGGGCAAGCGUUGUUCGGAAUUACUGGGCGUAAAGGGCGCGUAGGCGGGAUGUCAAGUUAGGGGUGAAAGGCCUGGGCUCAACCUGGGAACUGCCUCUAAAACUGGCAAUCUAGAGUCCGGGAGAGGAUAGCGGAAUUCCCAGUGUAGAGGUGAAAUUCGUAGAUAUUGGGAAGAACACCAGUGGCGAAGGCGGCUAUCUGGUCCGGUACUGACGCUGAGGCGCGAAAGCGUGGGGAGCAAACAAGAUUAGAUACCCUGGUAGUCCACGCCGUAAACGAUGUGUGCUAGCCGUUGGGGCACGUUGGUGCUUCAGUGGCGCAGCUAACGCGUUAAGCACACCGCCUGGGGAGUACGGUCCGAAGAAUUAAACUCAAA
RNAcentral lists this ribosomal RNA (835 nucleotides) under uncultured bacterium. Its description in RNAcentral is "bacterial SSU rRNA". It matches the Rfam family "Bacterial small subunit ribosomal RNA", at positions 37 to 905 of the family's 1533-position model. The record is from RNAcentral.